AACGCGAAGAACCUUACCUGGGUUCGAAAUGCAGGUGUAAACCUCAGAGAUGAGGUCCCCUCUUCGGAGGCACCUGUAUAGGUGCUGCAUGGCUGUCGUCAGCUCGUGUCGUGAGAUGUUGGGUUAAGUCCCGCAACGAGCGCAACCCUUGUCCAUAGUUGCUAACGCGUAGUGGCGAGAACUCUAUGGAGACUGCCGGUGAUAAACCGGAGGAAGGUGGGGAUGACGUCAAGUCCUCAUGGCCUUUAUGUCCAGGGCUACACACGUGCUACAAUGGGCGGUACAAAGAGUUGCGAUCCCGCAAGGGGGAGCUAAUCUCAAAAAGCCGCUCUCAGUUCGGAUUGUUCUCUGCAACUCGAGAGCAUGAAGCUGGAAUCGCUAGUAAUCGCGGAUCAGCACGCCGCGGUGAAUACGUUCCCGGGCCUUGUACACACCGUAGUAC
RNAcentral lists this ribosomal RNA (442 nucleotides) under uncultured bacterium. Its description in RNAcentral is "bacterial SSU rRNA". It matches the Rfam family "Bacterial small subunit ribosomal RNA", at positions 958 to 1398 of the family's 1533-position model. The record is from RNAcentral.